This 488-nucleotide ribosomal RNA is filed under the name uncultured bacterium. RNAcentral's name for it is "partial 16S ribosomal RNA". It matches the Rfam family "Bacterial small subunit ribosomal RNA", at positions 28 to 507 of the family's 1533-position model. The record is from RNAcentral.
GACGAACGCUGGCGGCGUGCUUAACACAUGCAAGUCGAACGGAAAGGCCCUGCUUUUGUGGGGUGCUCGAGUGGCGAACGGGUGAGUAACACGUGAGUAACCUGCCCUUGACUUUGGGAUAACUUCAGGAAACUGGGGCUAAUACCGGAUAGGAGCUCCUGCUGCAUGGUGGGGGUUGGAAAGUUUCGGCGGUUGGGGAUGGACUCGCGGCUUAUCAGCUUGUUGGUGGGGUAGUGGCUUACCAAGGCUUUGACGGGUAGCCGGCCUGAGAGGGUGACCGGCCACACUGGAGCUGAGGCAGGGGCCAGACUACUACGGGGGGCAGCAGGAGGGGAUCGUACGCAAGGGGCGAGAGCGUGAGGGAGCAGCGCCGCGGGAGUGAGGGAGGUCUGCGGAGCGUAAAGCUCGGUUAGGAGGGAAGAACAAAUGUGCACGGAACCAUGACCGGCUUGAAGGUACCUAAUCAGAAAGACACGGCUAACUACGUG